Molecule: long non-coding RNA, 126 nt
Filed under: Ursus maritimus (polar bear)
Lineage: Eukaryota; Metazoa; Chordata; Mammalia; Carnivora; Ursidae
Description: lncRNA (ENSUMAG00000005966.1)
Source: RNAcentral
CUGGCGGUUGGUGAGUCGUCUUGGAAACCGCGCAGAAGCUCCUAAGCCGGUGUUCGAAACGUACCUGAUAUGUGGGACUCCCUCCUGCUGAGCCUGACCUUGACUUCAGGAUCCUUUCCAGCCAGG